This is a long non-coding RNA of Halichondria panicea, 4473 nucleotides long. RefSeq lists it as uncharacterized. NCBI's taxonomy places the organism in Eukaryota, Metazoa, Porifera, Demospongiae, Suberitida, Halichondriidae. The transcript has 3 exons. The record is from RefSeq and is a predicted model, not a curated record.
UGUGUGUGUAUUUAGUACUGAACUCAGGAUGUGUUGAUGUUAGGUCAUUAACCUUUAUCCUUAUUACACUUGUAUCAAGAGUACUUAUGUACUUCUGCUUGUGUGUAUAUAUAGUGUGAUCACCCUUAUCAGUCACACCCUUUACUAAAAAAAAACCGGUCUUGCAGGCUGCAAACAAGACCUAGCAGGCUACUGACUGUACGGUGGCGGCUAACAUGACAAUUGUAGCUAUAAUCAUACUUGCAACUAGGUAUUAGUACAACCAGUAGGUUGUACAUAGGAUUGACAGUGCAGUUGUGUGUGUUUUCAAUUAUUGCACAAAUUUUGACUUGUUUCUGCAGGGAAGGGCCACAGCAAGAAACUGAGUUGACAGAUAGCUUAGUUAGCCUUUUAUCUGUCUAAAUGUGUGAAAUUAUAGUCAAUGAAUAUUCUCAUGCAUUACUAUUGAUAUUUGAAAAAUUGCACUAUUUUCAUAUUUCACCGCGUUUUGUCUGACUGACUAAGUAAGUAAGUAAGUUAGUAAGUAAGUAAGUAAGUAAGUAACAUUCUUGGAAAGCAUUUCCUCCUUGUACAGACAUGUUCAGAAGAUUCUAGAUACAGCCUCUAGUCCACUAGAAUCCGGACCAUGGGCGUUUUUCUCAGAAUUGCGUUCGCUUCCAAGAGGCAGAUGACCUCUCAGGCUCCAAUUUUCUUACCUACGCAAUUCCGCCAUCUUUAAAUGACUGCCACAGCAACACACAUGGCAACUUAUGAGGUGGGCGUGGCUGUGACAUCGAUAAGCACAAAACCUUCUUUCUUCAGCUCAGCUCUCCAUUCUCUCACUUCAGGUAUUUCACUUUGAAAAGAAGGCCGGUGAAGGAGCCUCAAUUCCCUGAGUGAAGUGUGGCCUGGGAUCGAGACUAUUGAGGAGUAUAAUAAUACUUCUGUCCAACGACCACUUAUAUAUUUAAUAUCUUCAACAAGAUUACAAUGACAAAUUAAUCAACGUCACAUUUAUCUUAUCAUUAAUGUACUACUGUAAUGAAAAAAGAAAGGGAAUCAAAACUAAAAAACAUUUGCAAUGUGAACGUUGCUAGGAUUGCCAGGAAAAGAAAAGCGCGAAAAAGCGAAGAAACAAGAAAUUCGGCGAGUGCAUAACUCCAAUCCGUUACAACGUCAUGAACAUGUACAGCCGAGUGGCCCACUGUUGAUAAUGAUUUUAGAAUCAAUAUACAGGUUGGGUAAAAAUGAACCGAGAACUAAGAAUUCACAAUAAUCCACCUACACAUCCAACACUUGCAUGUUUGCUCAACACUGUAAGGGAAAACAUCACAAACACAUUAUAUAGCUUGCUUAUAACAAUAAAAAUUACUGAAGGAUUGGCCAGGAAAAGCACAAAAAAAUAUUGCUUGAAACAGUACAUGUGAAUGAAGUUGUAACGGAUUGGAGUUAUGCACUCACCGAAUUUCUUGUUUCUUCGCUUUUUCGCGCUUUUCUUUUCCUGGCAAUCCUAGCAACGUUCACAUUGCAAAUGUUUUUUAGUUUUGAUAUAUAUACAGGGUUUUGCAGAAUUCUUGCAACAGGGCUAAACAGACACAGCAAUGACUUCCAUAUAUGGAAGUCAACUGCUGACUUAUAAUAAUAUUAUAGUGUACAUGUCCAGGUAUAUGUAUAAUGAAAGAUGUCCUGUGAGCCUAAGAGAGCAUCAGCUUAUUUAUAUUCACAACAUUUAAUUAAGGUGGUGGAUGGUACACCAGGUGGAUGCAGGGCAAAUAUUGUUGUGAUGUUGGUGUGUGCAGAACUGUUGGCAUAGCUGUGUAUUGACUGAUCAUUAUCAGUUGUUUUUAGUACUAUUUGGAGGUUUUUGCAUUCUAACCAGACAGAAGAUGGCAAAGCAAAGAAGUGAGAGGAGCAUACCUUCAAGACAUGCAAAUUUUCAAUGGUCAUCCUGAAUUGUUGAUGAGACAGCAGCUGACAGAAGAAAUUGCCAGAGGAGAUUAGGCCUAUAAGGGGCAAGGCAUCUGUCUUCAAACUUAUCAAUAUCAGCCAAUACUACUGUUUGGAGGGUGUCAUUUAUCAACUGUUCCGGUAUCAAUGAAAAGAGCAACAGUUCUUACAAACUUAUGAAUAUAAGCUGAUGCUCUCUGGACAUAUUUCAAAUGAUUACAGGGUGUCUGUCAUACAUGCAGGAUUUUGAAUUAGAGGGGAUUUUGAAGAGUCACAAGAACAUAAAAAAAAAGUCAACAGUUAUUUCAAUACCCUACCGGCUAUAAUUAUGGAUACUCAGUCGUAUGACUGAGUAGAUUGGAGCCAGAGGGGAAUAAUCAUACAUCCCUGUAUGCUGCAUAUACAUGUACAUGUACACAAAAUAAUUAUUAGUUGACUUCCAUAUAUGGAAGUCAUUGCAAUGUCUGUUUAGCCCUGUUGCAAGGAUUUUGCAAAACCCUGUACUACUUCAUUGCCUUUCCUACUUGUUGCGGUUACAACAGCCAGUAUCUGUGACGUAGGAGUGGAGGAAUGCUUUUUCUAUUGGAGUUGCGUACUCUUCCUAAUGAACUCGUGAUGACAAAUCCCAAUAUUAAUGUUAUUCAUGAUCCAACCUUGUAUAAAAAUGUAUAGCUAAAUAGGGCUUCUUAUUUAGUACACAUACAUGUAGGCACUGGGCUCAUGUAAAGUGUAUCUAGAAAGUGAAAGCACCAAAAAUUAUUAGCCAGUCUAUAGCCUGAAAGCAUAAUUUUUAUAUCAAACAGUUUCCCAGCUCAGAUGAAAGAAUUGACAGUUUCUGGCCAAAUACCAUGCAAGCAUGUAUGGAUUAUAAUAGACAGUUUUGUGAUUGUAUAUAUAAAUUGGAAAAGAGAAUAUUGAACUACGAAAUUGAGCUAUAAUAUGAGACAUCAAAAGUUAUCCCGGAUAUGGUGGAGGGGCUUCUCCGCCAGAAAAAUACAGUGCAGGGGGCGGUUUUGCAGUGGCUGGGGAUUGCUGAGGGUAGGACGUGUCUGGAGGUUGCUGAGGGUAGGAUGUGCGGUAUGGGGAGGAGGCGUAUUGUCCAGUUGGUUGAGCCCCAUGAACAUUUUGAGGAGGGGCUUGAUUCGAGUUUGAAGAUCUUUGGUUCAUGGAGUAUGCUGUGUUAUGUGUUGACAUAGUGUGAUCUAGAGAAUUCCUAGGUGGGUCGCGAUUCAGGCGAUCCUGGCGAUUUCCUACCAAUAGGCCAAUCACAACCGCGAUAAUGAACAUAAUGAGUAUAGGAAUCGUGACUCCAAUACUAAUCCAGACUUCAGCUGAUGUAGUUGAUGAAUUAAGUGGGUGCUGCAUAAUAAAAGUAUGUUAUACAGUGUAUCAGUGUAUGCGAGAUUUAUAUAUAUCUAUUAUACGUGAUGUAUAUACUGUGGCCGAGAGGGUCACCCACCAUCGCUAUAAUAUAUACAGCGUGUAUUGCGCACACGUUACGUUAACUGGUUGCCACGUACACCAUGACCAACAUCACUUUAGUAACACGAAGCACACGGCGGCAGCGGCUUCAUGUAACCAGUUCACAAAAGAGACAUCAAAAUGUUAGGCAGCAAUCAUAUACAUGCGGUUGACUCUUUUAUCGCUAUUAUAGGUGGCAACUAUUUUACAACCAUGCAGGCGCAAUGCAUACACGUGGUAAUGUGGUAGCGGUGGCAGGUGACCUUUGGCUAUACCACAAUAAUCACUUACAUGUCAUUGCUGAACUAACAGGCUCAGCCAUGCAUGCAUGCACAUUAAUUAUACUAUUGACUAGCUCUUACAUUCAGUACAGGUCAAGGCCACAUCUUCUGAAUGGUAGCAAUCUUCAACUCUGGUAAGGUCAGCAGGACAAUCAAUGAGUCUGCUCUCAGUUCCUCGACAACGAAGCUCCAUUAGCCAUAUCGGAAUAGUCGAUGAAUUCGAAAGUUGGAAGAAACUAUAGAAGGAAUUACGUAAUUAUUAAUGUGUUUGCUCAUUAAUUAUUCAUGAGCUCGAUACGUGCAUUAUAUAUAUAGAAUGAGUGGAAGUCCAGCUGAAACGCAGUAGUCAUAUUUCACAGCUUGAAUAUUUUUACAAGCAUACUUCGUUCUAUUGGCUGAACCACAUGAAGAUAAAAAGGCUACUCUGAAAGCUGCAGCGUUUUGUGAGUUUCAUGGGCUGGAAAGAAAACUGCAAGAAGCAUCACAAGAAGCAUGUAAGAGCAAGAACACAGAGCUUAUAAUUAUAGCUAGUUUUAUUUGACUACUAUAGUUUCUGCAGUUUCUAACUUGAUGAUUGCUCAGAGCGAUAUCGUAUAUAUAACAUUCAAUUUUCAAGGCAAAUAAAUUUCAGGGAAUAAAAAUAAAUUUUGGGGGUUGACUUUUUUACAGGAAACACUCCCACGUCACGCCUUCUAUCCUUUGCACGUUAUAGCAGAUAGGGAUUGCAUGCACUAACCACAAGCCCCUCAAACAGUUUGUGCUAUACAGUUACUACUGUUAAAGAUGGUUAAUAAUUAUAGCUUAC